RNAcentral lists this long non-coding RNA (4533 nucleotides) under Solanum tuberosum (potato). RNAcentral describes it as "long non-coding RNA (STUB_LNC010346)". The record is from RNAcentral. Lineage: Eukaryota; Viridiplantae; Streptophyta; Magnoliopsida; Solanales; Solanaceae.
GGGGGGUUUACAGUUCUCGACCCUUUGUUUAAUCAGUUCUUGCUAUAAUUGAUAGGCGAGAUAACUGGUGAAGAAUGUAGGUGUUGAUGCUAUUCUCCUUUUUUUUUCUUGAUAGCGAAUAAAUCUUUUGUGUAGGUUUCACAUAUAAGUUGAUGGCAUCCUUGCUCAAACGUGCAAGGGAGCAGUCUCACCUCUUUCAACUUCCAUCCUGAACGGGAAAGGGGCUCAACGCAAGAAAAUAAUCCUGGAGGUGCAACACUUCCUUGAGGAAAGAGAAGGUCAAUUGGCUCUAAGUUGGGUGGUGGGAGAAAGGGAGCCGAGGGUCUAUUGAAAAUAGUCUCUCUAUCUCUACGAGGUAGAGUUAAGGGCGGUUUGGGAUUACACUGGGUACGUUGCUGUUGUUGCAAUGGGGAUGUUUCAUGUAGUAUUCAACGAAUGAUGAAGUCUUCCUUCUCAAAAAGGUAAUAAUAAUGAGGUCACAAAAUGUCUGAUUGUGAUCUUGCUUCUGUCUGGCACUGAUCUGUUACAUUUCCAAAUAGGGUCGAAUCUUUAAUCGGCCUAGUUGAUCAAUACUAGUUGGCCCCUUGCUUCUUGCACAAUUUUAGAUUUUCACUCAAACAAUAAACCUUUUCUCUUUAUUUGGUUUUACGUUUCGAUGUUGCAAAGAUCUAUUGUGUUGAAUGCGUUGUAUGCAGUUUGGAUCUUCUUUUUAUCUUUUUCUUCUCUUUUUCAUUUUUCGUUUAUGCAUCUAUAUAUGAUCCUUAAUAUCAUGCAUGUUUGGUAAUCUUAUUAAUGUUAAUGCAUUUUUGAACUUCCUCUGUAUGUUUUGCUUUUAAUUGACCUUGGUGUAUAUGUUAUGUAUUGUGCUUUGAUGUUCAUUUGCCUUUAAGUACGAUCCCAAUUAAUUUCUAGCUGAUUUUAGAGUAGAUUUUCUUUAAAGAAAUGUAGGCCAGGCGGUUGAAUUGAUUCUUCAAAUUUGGGAGAAAAGGAACAACUUAUUGACAAAUGUUUUGUGGCACCCAAGGGUGUGGCCUAGUGUUUAGUGGUUGAGAACCCUAAGGUCUUAGAUUCAAAAGUCAGCGGAGACAAAAGAACACUAGGUGAUUCUUCCCAUCUAUCCGAGCCUUGUAUGUUAUAGAUUUAUAGUAUAUAUGUGGCAUGAAUUUGCAUAAAGUUAUCAUAAUCCGGACCUUAUAAUGAUUAGCUAAUGAUUAAAGGACAAAGGAUUUGACAAUGAUUGGUAGUUAGUGAAAUUGGAUUUGUAAUAUUAGCUUUAAAAUCUACCGUGAGAAAACCAUAUUUUUUUCAAUGAUGCAGUUUAAAUUUCACCACUUCUAACUAGAAGACAUUAGGAUUAUGUGGUGAUUGGAUAAUAAUGAAAGAGAGAGAUAUGACUAUAGUAAUGAUUGUAAAUGUAAAAGUAAAAAUAGUGACUUCAUUAGCAUGAGGAACGACUUAUUACAGUAUUUGAAGCUCUUCUGUUUUGGCAAUUAUGAGGUUUAGCAUUCUUAGAGAAUUUUAAUGUUUAAGUCACUGUGAUGGCUAUUUGAAGCAACUGGCUAUGCACAUUAGUUCCCCGCAAUUUAUGGUUUUCACUUAGAUUUGUUUUUACGCAGUUGGAGUACUUUUUUGGAAUAUAAGUGUUGAUAUAUUGGACUGAAUUUUCUCCUAUUAAGUUUCAACAGUGAAGCUAAGAUAUUUUACCUUUUAAUUCAUGGAUUAAGGUGUGAGAUGUUAAGGUUUAGCUCACUCCUUAGUCCUUACCUACAUGUCUAUGCAGAUAUUUUUGUGGAGGGUAAGACUAGUGAGGAACGAGUCCGUUCGCGUCGAUUCUGUUGUUGAGGUGAGCCCUUCCAUUAUUCGUGGAGGUUGCCGUUUCAUCUCUAUCUAUUUUAUAGUAAAUUUCUUUUCUUGGGGUUUGCAUGCCUGGCAACUAACCUCAUAUAGUCCUAUUAGAUGCUCCAUGGUCUUAUUGUGGGAUUUGGGCUAGAUAAUUAGUCUUUGAGUAAUCGUUGAGUUAAUAGAUUGAUUAUGGAGUUUUAUUGGAUUAUUUUUCUCCAUGCAUUGAUUAUUAUUUAUUUGCUAGACUUGCACAAAUUGCUCAAAGUGCUUGCAUAAUUGGGUAAGUAAAUGGAUAAUUGGUUUGCCCGACAGGCGGUGUAGGUGGAUGCUAGUCAUGUCUAAGGGGUAUUUUUGGGAUGUGACAUUUAUCACACGGGUAAACCCUUUACCACUUCACAAACAAUUUCUUGUGUAAUUGUUGCAAUUGGUUUAUAUGUUGCAAAGUGUUUUUGAGUUGUUGAUGCUGUAUACAAUUGGAUCUCUAGUAGAAAGAAUGCUACGCUUAGUUGUUAUAAAUUAUUUUUAUCUUAACUUUAAUCUACUUUACAUUAUAGUAAAUUUGACUUCCCUUUAUCUUGUAGAUACCCCGACAAGUGAAAGGAGAAGAAGCGCUGUAAUGGCUGGUCACUUGGCUGAUGAGGUCUCAAAUAUGUUGAUCUACUUUUUUUUUGUAUUAGUUUCAACUUUUUUAACUUCAGUUACUGAAGGGGAGAAUAUCUGUUCCAGGGACAGCUUCCUAAUAAGUUUAAAGCAAAAAAAUCAAAUAUUUUGUGGUCAGGUACGUACUGCUUGGACCUGCGCCAAGCAACUUACGCAUUAUCCUUCUUUUAGUAGAAAUGGAACUACAAUAACUGUAAGCACUCUGUAGCAUUAAAUCAGUUUCUUGACCUCAUAUUUCUUUUCCUUCCUCGUGUAAUCUCUUAGUUUUCUGCAGCUUAAUUCCUUCACUAUAAUCACAGUCGAAAAAGAAAGUCAGUACCCAGGUUACUUGGAGGAUUUUUAUGAGAACAAAAAGGGACUGAAAAGAGUUGAGGUGCGGUGUUCUGAACAUUUUCAGGAAGUCCAUUGUGUAAUUCCAAAGCUUGAGGACCAUCUAGAGAAGUACUUAUCACGUCUCAUGUUCAGGUGAUCCGAUCCGAUUGUAUUGAUGCUCUUGCUACACUUUUGACUCCCAGAGAUUAUGAGAAAUAUAUCUCUUGUCUCACAGUUAACAAGCCCAGCUUAGGUCAAUGGGUCAUAUGUUGCACGAAGUAAAAGAUAUCACCCGAGAAGUUCCUUUAACGCAAGGACUUAAGGGGAGUAGAAGUGUCAGUGAGAGUGACCAUUCUGGUAUUAGAAAACCAAUUCCUGGUAACCAGUUAGCAAAAACUGAACCACCAACUUGCCUGAAGUUAAAGAUUAAAUUUCCCAGCGUUGGACAGGUUGGAAUUCAGUAUGCUGCCUUUUAAAGUUGGUGACAACUUGGAGGUUCUUUGCCAGGAUAGUGGCAUGAGAGGUUGCUGGUUCAGGUGUAAGGUCUUAGAGGUAUCACAAAAAUGUAUGCAAGUUCAAUAUGAUGACAUCCAGGAUUGUGAUGGUUCUGAAAAGCUCUAGGUACCUUAACUUUUGCGACCCCUAUUAAUUACUAGCCGAUUUUAGAGUAGAUUUUCUUUAAGGAAAUGUAGAAUUCUUUUUUCAUUUUGAUGGUUAUAUGCACAUGUAGAAUUUAAAUCUUAUGUGCUCAUAAAGAUUAAGAUUACCCCAUAGCCGUCUAUGGAAUUAUCGGCGUUGAACUUGGUUCUUUUAGCUGAACCCCCAGUAAAUUGUUGUAUAAGCUGCAAAGUUGCUGGUGUUUUUGAGUUGUUGAUGUUUUAUACAAUUGGAUCUUUGUAGAAAGAAUGUGAAGGCUAGUAGUUAUAGAUUACUUUUAUCUCAUCUAUCUACUUUUACAUUAUAGUAAAUUUGACUUCUCUUAUCUUCUAGAUACCCCAAGAAGUGAAAGGAGAAGUGUGUUAAUGGCUGGUAACUAGAUAGCAAAAGCCAAACCAACUUACCCAAAAUUGAAAAUAAAAUCUCGAAGCAUAGGAUCGGUUGGAAUUCAGCUUGUUGAGCCUUAAUAUAGCUGGCUUUUGAAGUUGGUGACAACUUAGAGGUUCUUUGCCACGAUAAUGGCAUGACAGGUUGUUGGUUCAGGUGUAAGGUAGGUUACAGGUAUCACAGAAACGUGUAAAAGUUCAAUAUGAUGCAUCCAGGAUUGUGAUAGUCCUGAAAAGCUCGAGAUACAUUGAAAUCAUAUGUCUAAGCCCAACAUUGUCGUAAAUUGGCUUUCUAACUCCACAAUGGAAAACAUUUUCAAUAGUAGGCCUAGCUCUUGGCUAAUUUGUUGUCCGGAGUUUUGCCUGAUGCCUCAAGUUUUUUUUUUUGUUUCAAUAAAAGGCGAGAACAUAUUAUUGGAGAAACAAAGGAAGAACGUGAGGACUUGAAGAGAUUGGAUAGAUGGCAAAUGGGUUGAAGUUGAGGGUGGAAUUUAAGAAUAAUCUUGAGGCUAUUGGCUUUGUCUUGUCGAACUUGCUAUGAUUGUGCACUAAAACAUGUGAUUAGGUGUUGUAGGAACUUUCAAGGUGAUUGGAGUCCAUUCGAGAAAAGGAUAAGCGAGGAAGCACGAAGAUAGACUGAGGAGCAAGGGAUUGUGGCGCACUGCCUGGCGCGAGG